GCUACCUCUUACCCAUGUCUUUUGAGUACCUUCGUUUCCUCGGCGGGUCCGCCCGCCGAUUGGACAACAUUCAAACCCUUUGCAGUUGCAAUCAGCGUCUGAAAAAACAUAAUAGUUACAACUUUCAACAACGGAUCUCUUGGUUCUGGCAUCGAUGAAGAACGCAGCGAAAUGCGAUAAGUAGUGUGAAUUGCAGAAUUCAGUGAAUCAUCGAAUCUUUGAACGCACAUUGCGCCCCUUGGUAUUCCAUGGGGCAUGCCUGUUCGAGCGUCAUUUGUACCUUCAAGCUCUGCUUGGUGUUGGGUGUUUGUCUCGCCUCUGCGUGUAGACUCGCCUUAAAACAAUUGGCAGCCGGCGUAUUGAUUUCGGAGCGCAGUACAUCUCGCGCUUUGCACUCAUAACGACGACGUCCAAAAGUACAUUUUUACACUCUUGACCUCGGAUCAGGUAGGGAUACCCGCUGAACUUA
This 469-nucleotide ribosomal RNA is filed under the name Epicoccum nigrum. RNAcentral's name for it is "eukaryotic LSU rRNA". The stretch from base 120 to 273 matches the Rfam family "5.8S ribosomal RNA". The record is from RNAcentral. Lineage: Eukaryota; Fungi; Ascomycota; Dothideomycetes; Pleosporales; Didymellaceae.